RNAcentral lists this ribosomal RNA (253 nucleotides) under uncultured bacterium. RNAcentral's name for it is "partial 16S ribosomal RNA". It matches the Rfam family "Bacterial small subunit ribosomal RNA", at positions 524 to 776 of the family's 1533-position model. The record is from RNAcentral.
UACGGGGGGGGCAAGCGUUGUUCGGAAUUACUGGGCGUAAAGCGCACGUAGGCGGAUUGUUAAGUCAGGGGUGAAAUCCUGGAGCUCAACUCCAGAACUGCCUUUGAUACUGGCGAUCUUGAGUCCGGGAGAGGUGAGUGGAACUGCGAGUGUAGAGGUGAAAUUCGUAGAUAUUCGCAAGAACACCAGUGGCGAAGGCGGCUCACUGGCCCGGUACUGACGCUGAGGUGCGAAAGCGUGGGGAGCAAACAGG